This 240-nucleotide long non-coding RNA is filed under the name Elaeis guineensis (African oil palm). RNAcentral's name for it is "long non-coding RNA (EGUI_LNC017745)". Lineage: Eukaryota; Viridiplantae; Streptophyta; Magnoliopsida; Arecales; Arecaceae. The record is from RNAcentral.
AGAUCCAAGCAUCGGUUAUAGACUCCAAUGCAAAAUAAGAGGAAAGCGAGAGCAUAAGGGGAGCAAAGACAGGGGGGGAAUUGUGGGGAAGAGAGAGAGAGAAGAAACUGAAAGAGAGAAUUUUGGGAGGCAGACAAAACUACUUUGAGAUCAGGAGGGAUGAGAGAGGAGAGAGAGAGGGGGGAGAAGGAGAGAGAUCCAAUGGGAGAGGCUAGGGAGGAGACAGAUUGGGAUGGAGGG